GUGCUCACUUCAGCACCGUAUAUACUAAAAUUGGAAUGAUACAGAAAUUAGCAUGGCCCCUGCAUAGGGACAUGCAAAUUUGUGAAGCAUUCCAUAUUAAA
Molecule: small nuclear RNA, 101 nt
Filed under: Jaculus jaculus (lesser Egyptian jerboa)
Lineage: Eukaryota; Metazoa; Chordata; Mammalia; Rodentia; Dipodidae
Source: RNAcentral